RNAcentral lists this long non-coding RNA (292 nucleotides) under Amphimedon queenslandica. Its description in RNAcentral is "uncharacterized LOC109593332". Lineage: Eukaryota; Metazoa; Porifera; Demospongiae; Haplosclerida; Niphatidae. The record is from RNAcentral.
GGCAAUGUCAUAUCAGCAAAAAACUGUCAUUAUGUAUGAGAGACUGCUAGGGAGUGGACCACUGCAGCUCUAUAUCAGCCUAUUUCCAUUUGGCUUAGUAUUGGUGUGGGGCUUAGAGGAAUGUUGUGGCGUUGAGAUUACUGUAUAGAGUUAGGUAUCUAAUAAUGUUAAGACAUGGUGAGGAUCAUCCUUAAAUGUCUAAUGAUGAUUUUUACAUUUGUUUACUACUGAGUAAUGCUGGUCAUUAUGAAGAAAGUCAGGCAUAUCUGGUUAGAUUACAAAACAAGUGAGC